AAGACAGGAGAUGUAAGUCUGACUAAAGUUCCUAGAGAAAGAGAGUUUUAGACUAAAAUGGAAGUCCAGGGACAUACCAGAAGCAUUGCCACUGGCUGAUGUUUGAGAGAGGGAGACACAGCGAGGGAGCCUGGGUGGGAACAGCAACCGGGAAAGGAGAGAGUUCUCUUCUACCACAAAGGCUUCUGAAUAUUCUCUGAGGUGCUUGUCUGUCAUCACUGGAAAGAAGAGAAAGAAUGAUGACUAUGCUGAGAGGAGAGGAAUAACAUCACCUAAAUAAUUCACCUUUAUGUCACGUAACCACACCAGCGCUAAAGAAAACACGGAGAACAAAGGGCUGGGUGACACUUCCACACGCUGGUCUGUUUGGUGAUUUUAUUAUUCAUACUCAAGGGGAGGCCAAACGGAUAAAUGAUCCAAAGGACAAGCAACAAAAACAACGAUUACUACAUCUGGAAUAUUUUUACCUAAAUAUGAAUUUAAUUUCUUAAUAGAAAUUUGUCAGAAUAAUGAUAACCAAAACAGCAAACAAUACAAAGCUGUGAAUAGCUUCACUUUGAAAAAACAUAAGGAAGUGAUGUAGUGUCUUGACUUUAACCACCUCUGAAAUACAAAGUUCUCCCUUUGGCCCCUGUCAGCUACUUCUGUACACUGUGCUACGCUGUCCUCUCUCCCUCUCUUAAACUGACACCUAUUUAUCUCAUUCCUUCUAUAGAGCUUCUGGGGAGACUGAGAUGAAAGGGAGAGGAAGAGACAGAAAGGUGAAACAUAAAAACUCAAAAGAAUAUUUGGGUAGAAAAUUACUCCAAUGCACACAAAGAACACAGAGCUCCAAGAGUCUGUUAAGCCAAUACUUACCUAAGUAGAUUUAGCUAGAAUAAAAUUGAAGACAAGAUUUACCACAAAAUGUAGAUAACCAUCCCAGAUAGAAGGGAGUUCAUUGUUCUAGAAAGCUUGGACCUAGCCUGUGAAUGUGUGAGCAGAAAGAAAUAAAAA
Long non-coding RNA from Peromyscus eremicus (cactus mouse), 996 nucleotides. RefSeq lists it as uncharacterized. Lineage: Eukaryota; Metazoa; Chordata; Mammalia; Rodentia; Cricetidae. The transcript is spliced from 3 exons. The record is from RefSeq and is a predicted model, not a curated record.